UUCCGGUUGAUCCCGCCGGACCCGACUGCUAUUUGGGUGAGAAUAAGCCAUGCGAGUUGAAUGGGAUACCUAAAGUUCCCAUAGCAAACUGCUCAGUAACACAUGAUCAACUUACCCUAUAGAGAAAAAUAACCUCGGGAAACUGAGGAUAAUGUUUCAUAAUUGAAUUGGCUUGGAAAAGUUUUUCAAUGAAAAGGAUAAAAAAAAUGGUUUUUAUCUGCUAUAGGAUAGGAUCGUAUUCGAUUAUGGUUGUUGGUGAGAUAAUGGCUCACCAAGCCGAUAAUCGAUAGGGGCCGUGAGAGCGGGAGCCCCGAGAUGGGUACUGAGACAACGACCCAGGCCUUACGAGGCGCAGCAGGCGCGGAACCUCCGCAAUACACGAAAGUGUGACGGGGUUACCCAAAGUGUUCAAUAGAACUGUGGUAGAUGAGUAAUGUCCCCUACUAGAAAGGAGAGGGCAAGGCUGGUGCCAGCCGCCGCGGUAAAACCAGCUCUUCAAGUGGUCGGGAUAAUUAUUGGGCUUAAAGUGUCCGUAGCCGGUUUAGUAAGUUCCUGGUAAAAUCGGGUAGCUUAACUAUCUGCAUGCUAGGAAUACUGCUAUACUAGAGGGCGGGAGAGGUCUGAGGUACUACAGGGGUAGGGGUGAAAUCUUAUAAUCCUUAUAGGACCACCAGUGGCGAAGGCGUCAGACUGGAACGCGCCUGACGGUGAGGGACGAAAGCCAGGGGAGCGAACCGGAUUAGAUACCCGGGUAGUCCUGGCCGUAAACGAUGCAUACUAGGUGAUGGUACGGCCAUGAGCCGUAUCAGUGCCGUAGGGAAACCGUUAAGUGUGCCGCCUGGGAAGUACGGUCGCAAGGCUAAAACUUAAAGGAAUUGGCGGGGGAGCACCACAAGGGGGUGAAGCCUGCGGUUCAAUUGGAUUCAACGCCGGAAAUCACUAGUGCGGCC
RNAcentral lists this ribosomal RNA (950 nucleotides) under uncultured archaeon. Its description in RNAcentral is "bacterial SSU rRNA". It matches the Rfam family "Archaeal small subunit ribosomal RNA", at positions 1 to 940 of the family's 1478-position model. The record is from RNAcentral.